This 479-nucleotide ribosomal RNA is filed under the name uncultured bacterium. RNAcentral describes it as "partial 16S ribosomal RNA". It matches the Rfam family "Bacterial small subunit ribosomal RNA", at positions 31 to 499 of the family's 1533-position model. The record is from RNAcentral.
GGGGUCGGGGGGGGCAGGNCUAACACAUNCAUAGUCGAGCGGUAGAGAGAAGCUUNCUUCUCUUGAGAGCGGCGGACGGGUGAGUAAUGCCUAGGAAUCUGCCUGGUAGUGGGGGAUAACGUUNGGAAACGGACGCUAAUNCCGCAUACGUCCUACGGGAGAAAGCAGGGGACCUUNGGGCCUUGCGCUAUCAGAUGAGCCUAGGUCGGAUUAGCUAGUUGGUGGNUAAUGNCUCACCANGGCGACGAUCCGUCCCUGGUCUGAGAGGAUGNUCANUCACACUGGAACUGAGACACGGUCCAGACUCNUACGGGAGGCUAGCAGNGGGGAAUAUUGGACAAUGGGCGAUAAGCCUGAUCCAGCCAUGCCGCGUGUGUGAAGCAAGGUCUUCAGGAUUGUAAAGCACUNUAAGUUGGGAGGAAGGGCAUUAACCUAAUACGUUACGUGUUGAGACGUACNGACAGAAUUAGCACCNGCAC